UACGUAGGGGGCAAGCGUUGUCCGGAAUCAUUGGGCGUAAAGAGCGUGUAGGCGGUCCGGUAAGUCGGCUGUGAAAGUCCAGGGCUCAACCCUGGGAUGCCGGUCGAUACUGCCGGACUAGAGUUCGGAAGAGGCGAGUGGAAUUCCCGGUGUAGCGGUGAAAUGCGUAGAUAUCUGGAGGAACACCGGUGGCGAAGGCGGCAUCCUGGACCGGCAUUGACGCUGAGGAGCGAAAGCCAGGGGAGCAAACGGG
RNAcentral lists this ribosomal RNA (253 nucleotides) under uncultured bacterium. RNAcentral describes it as "partial 16S ribosomal RNA". It matches the Rfam family "Bacterial small subunit ribosomal RNA", at positions 524 to 776 of the family's 1533-position model. The record is from RNAcentral.